CCAGUAGUCAUAUGCUUGUCUCAAAGAUUAAGCCAUGCAUGUCUAAGUAUAAAGCAACUAUACGGUGAACUGCGAAUGGCUCAUUAAAUCAGUUAUCGUUUAUUUGAUAGUACCUUACUACAUGGAUAACCGUGGUAAUUCUAGAGCUAAUACAUGCUAAAAACCCCGACUUCGGAAGGGGUGUAUUUAUUAGAUAAAAAACCAAUAUCGGGCAACCGAUUUCCUUGGUGAUUCAUGACAACUUUUCGAAUCGUAUGACUUAACGUCGACGAUGAAUCAUUCAAAUUUCUGCCCUAUCAACUUUCGAUGGUAGGAUAGAGGCCUACCAUGGAAUAUUUCAACGGGUAACGGGGAAUUAGGACGUUCGACUCCGGAGAGGGAGCCUGAGAAACGGCUACCACAUCCAAGGAAGGCAGCAGGCGCGCAAAUUUACCCAAUCCCGACACGGGGAGGUAGUGACAAUAAAUACUGAUACAGGGCUCUUUUGGGUCUUGUAAUUGGAAUGAGUACAAUUUAAAUCCCUUAACGAGGAACAAUUGGAGGGUCAAGUCUGGUGCCAGCAGCCGCGGUAAUUCCAGCUCCAAUAGCGUAUAUUAAAGUUGUUGCAGUUAAAAAGCUCGUAGUUGAACCUUGGGCCUGGCUGGCCGGUCCGCCUCACCGCGUGUACUGUUAUCAUUGAUUUCUCACCUUCUAAAGAACCGUAAUGCCAUUAAUUUGGUGUUACGGGGAAUUAGGACCGUUACCUUGAAAAAAUUAG
This 757-nucleotide ribosomal RNA is filed under the name Funneliformis mosseae. Its description in RNAcentral is "bacterial SSU rRNA". It matches the Rfam family "Eukaryotic small subunit ribosomal RNA", at positions 17 to 769 of the family's 1831-position model. The record is from RNAcentral. Lineage: Eukaryota; Fungi; Glomeromycota; Glomeromycetes; Glomerales; Glomeraceae.